UAAAUAGUAUUACUUUCUUCUUUAUUUCAUUUCAAUACCUUUAAUUUAGAGUACAAAAUUCAUUACAAUAAUGUCUACAAUAAAUAAUUGUAGCAGACAUAUUAACAAAAUUACAGGUCGUGGAAUUUUAUACCAAAAACUUAUGGUCACAUUACUCAAGCACAACCACAAGUGGUAUCAUAGUAAUGACGGAAAAUUUCCACAUAAUUACACGUUGGUCUAAGAGGUAACUGACAAAAAUAUUUUCGACAAUCAAAACUUGUUCGGCAUUCAUUAUGCUCCGCUGUAAUGAAAAGAUAAAAUAAAACGGUAUAAUUAAAUUAGAUAAUUGACCAAAAAAAAAAUAGAUAAAACAUUAUGUACUGCAGUAAGUAACAAGAGAAAUUUGAAAAGGAUAGAAAACGGCUUACGGAAAAUACUCAAUGCACCAAGAAACAAGGUAAGAAAGAUAAGCAUAACAUUAAUUAACUUGGUAACUGCAACCAUAUUUUCUCCCCUUUAGAAGUAAUAAUAUUGUAUGUUUUUAU
RNAcentral lists this long non-coding RNA (527 nucleotides) under Medicago truncatula (barrel medic). RNAcentral's name for it is "lncRNA gene22267". The record is from RNAcentral. Lineage: Eukaryota; Viridiplantae; Streptophyta; Magnoliopsida; Fabales; Fabaceae.